RNAcentral lists this ribosomal RNA (305 nucleotides) under uncultured bacterium. RNAcentral describes it as "bacterial SSU rRNA". It matches the Rfam family "Bacterial small subunit ribosomal RNA", at positions 337 to 634 of the family's 1533-position model. The record is from RNAcentral.
GCCUACGGGGGGCAGCAGUAGGGAAUCUUCCACAAUGGGCGAAAGCCUGAUGGAGCAACGCCGCGUGGGUGAAGAAGGUCUUCGGAUCGUAAAACCCUGUUGUUAGAGAAGAAAGUGCGUGAGAGUAACUGUUCACGUUUCGACGGUAUCUAACCAGAAAGCCACGGCUAACUACGUGCCAGCAGCCGUGGUAAUACGUAGGUGGCAAGCGUUAUCCGGAUUUAUUGGGCGUAAAGGGAACGCAGGCGGUCUUUUAAGUCUGAUGUGAAAGCCUUCGGCUUAACCGGAGUAGUGCAUUGGAAACU